UACGUAGGGGGCAAGCGUUGUCCGGAAUUACUGGGCGUAAAGCGCACGUAGGCGGAUCGAUCAGUCAGGGGUGAAAUCCCAGGGCUCAACCCUGGAACUGCCUUUGAUACUGUCGAUCUGGAGUAUGGAAGAGGUGAGUGGAAUUCCGAGUGUAGAGGUGAAAUUCGUAGAUAUUCGGAGGAACACCAGUGGCGAAGGCGGCUCACUGGUCCAUUACUGACGCUGAGGUGCGAAAGCGUGGGGAGCAAACAGG
Molecule: ribosomal RNA, 253 nt
Filed under: uncultured bacterium
Lineage: Bacteria
Description: partial 16S ribosomal RNA
Rfam family: Bacterial small subunit ribosomal RNA
Source: RNAcentral